GGAAGUUGGUUGAUCUUGGUGGUUCGGCUUCUCCCACGGCUGAGGAAAUAUCUCCUAUUCCAACCACUGUUGCACCUGCUGAUGCUACACCACCUUGAUGAGAAUUAGUUAAUGUACUUACUAUUUUGUGAUGAACGUUGUUUAUGGUCGCUUUGACCGCACUUUGUAUCUUUUAUGUUUGGUGUUAGUACUUUCCGUUUGCUAGUAGAAUAACUA
RNAcentral lists this long non-coding RNA (216 nucleotides) under Vigna radiata. RNAcentral describes it as "long non-coding RNA (VRAD_LNC017844)". Lineage: Eukaryota; Viridiplantae; Streptophyta; Magnoliopsida; Fabales; Fabaceae. The record is from RNAcentral.